RNAcentral lists this ribosomal RNA (232 nucleotides) under uncultured bacterium. Its description in RNAcentral is "partial 16S ribosomal RNA". It matches the Rfam family "Bacterial small subunit ribosomal RNA", at positions 29 to 239 of the family's 1533-position model. The record is from RNAcentral.
UGCGAACGCUGGCGGCGUGCUUAACACAUGCAAGUCGAGCGAAGGUGUUUCAAGGGUAACCUUGAGAUACACUUAGCGGCGGACGGGUGAGUAAUACGUGGAUAACUUACCUCUGGGCCUGGGGAUAACCCCGGGAACUGGGGCUAAUACCUGAUAAGACCACAUUGUCUACGGACAAAGGGGUAAAAGGUGGCUGUGCAAACAGCUAUCGCCAAAAGAUAGGUCACGUCCC